GGAAGGGGAGUGAAAUAGAACCUGAAACCGUGUGCUUACAAGUAGUCAGAGCCCGUUAAUGGGUGAUGGCGUGCCUUUUGUAGAAUGAACCGGCGAGUUACGAUUUGAUGCAAGGUUAAGCAGUAAAUGUGGAGCCGUAGCGAAAGCGAGUCUGAAUAGGGCGUUUAGUAUUUGGUCGUAGACCCGAAACCAGGUGAUCUACCCUUGGUCAGGUUGAAGUUCAGGUAACACUGAAUGGAGGACCGAACCGACUUACGUUGAAAAGUGAGCGGAUGAACUGAGGGUAGCGGAGAAAUUCCAAUCGAACCUGGAGAUAGCUGGUUCUCUCCGAAAUAGCUUUAGGGCUAGCCUCAAGUGAUGAUUAUUGGAGGUAGAGCACUGUUUGGACGAGGGGCCCCUCUCGGGUUACCGAAUUCAGACAAACUCCGAAUGCCAAUUAAUUUAACUUGGGAGUCAGAACAUGGGUGAUAAGGUCCGUGUUCGAAAGGGAAACAGCCCAGACCACCAGCUAAGGUCCCAAAAUAUAUGUUAAGUGGAAAAGGAUGUGGCGUUGCCCAGACAACUAGGAUGUUGGCUUAGAAGCAGCCAUCAUUUAAAGAGUGCGUAAUAGCUCACUAGUCGAGUGACACUGCGCCGAAAAUGUACCGGGGCUAAACAUAUUACCGAAGCUGUGGAUUGUCCUUUGGACAAUGGUAGGAGAGCGUUCUAAGGGCGUUGAAGCAUGAUCGUAAGGACAUGUGGAGCGCUUAGAAGUGAGAAUGCCGGUGUGAGUAGCGAAAGACGGGUGAGAAUCCCGUCCACCGAUUGACUAAGGUUUCCAGAGGAAGGCUCGUCCGCUCUGGGUUAGUCGGGUCCUAAGCUGAGGCCGACAGGCGUAGGCGAUGGAUAACAGGUUGAUAUUCCUGUACCACCUAUAAUCGUUUUAAUCGAUGGGGGGACGCAGUAGGAUAGGCGAAGCGUGCGAUUGGAUUGCACGUCUAAGCAGUAAGGCUGAGUAUUAGGCAAAUCCGGUACUCGUUAAGGCUGAGCUGUGAUGGGGAGAAGACAUUGUGUCUUCGAGUCGUUGAUUUCACACUGCCGAGAAAAGCCUCUAGAUAGAAAAUAGGUGCCCGUACCGCAAACCGACACAGGUAGUCAAGAUGAGAAUUCUAAGGUGAGCGAGCGAACUCUCGUUAAGGAACUCGGCAAAAUGACCCCGUAACUUCGGGAGAAGGGGUGCUCUUUAGGGUUAACGCCCAGAAGAGCCGCAGUGAAUAGGCCCAAGCGACUGUUUAUCAAAAACACAGGUCUCUGCUAAACCGUAAGGUGAUGUAUAGGGGCUGACGCCUGCCCGGUGCUGGAAGGUUAAGAGGAGUGGUUAGCUUCUGCGAAGCUACGAAUCGAAGCCCCAGUAAACGGCGGCCGUAACUAUAACGGUCCUAAGGUAGCGAAAUUCCUUGUCGGGUAAGUUCCGACCCGCACGAAAGGCGUAACGAUUUGGGCACUGUCUCAACGAGAGACUCGGUGAAAUCAUAGUACCUGUGAAGAUGCAGGUUACCCGCGACAGGACGGAAAGACCCCGUGGAGCUUUACUGUAGCCUGAUAUUGAAAUUCGGCACAGCUUGUACAGGAUAGGUAGGAGCCUUUGAAACGUGAGCGCUAGCUUACGUGGAGGCGCUGGUGGG
RNAcentral lists this ribosomal RNA (1664 nucleotides) under Staphylococcus aureus. RNAcentral's name for it is "partial 23S ribosomal RNA". It matches the Rfam family "Bacterial large subunit ribosomal RNA", at positions 529 to 2196 of the family's 2925-position model. The record is from RNAcentral. Lineage: Bacteria; Bacillati; Bacillota; Bacilli; Caryophanales; Staphylococcaceae.